AAGUCACGGGCAAAAGAGAUACAUCAUCCAUGUUUACACUUACAACUACGACAACAACGGCUCCCCCUAGAUCUCCACUUCACCUUCAGCACCCAGCCAUACAGUGGGAACUCACACACACUGCGAUCAGAUAAAGACCAGUUCAAGUAAUAGAUGCAGCCCAUCUAUUACAACUUCAUCGACGUUGGGCGCAAUCACCUGUAGUGACCAUCUCGGAAAGAAAGGAGGGAAAACCGGCUGUCGGGAAAAUAUACGGAAGAAUCAUUCUGGCACCACCUCAUAGAGACGGGCGCUGGGCACUGACGAAGGAGGAGUACGCUGCUAAUGAUUUCCCGCCGUAUGCCACAGGGGCCGCUUACAUCAUCGAUAACGUAGCGCUCAAGAAGCUCUGGGAUCAUGUUUCUCUUGCUCCCUUUCUGUGGAUAGAAGACGUGUUCCUCACCGGGUUGGUGGCACGAGUAGCUGAGCUUAAACAUGAGUGGCUAAAUCACCUUUACCUGGAGAAAAAAAUAUCCGACUCUUGGUAUAAAGGAAAUGGAAUUUUCUUGUAUGAAGCCUCGCCAUGGGAUGUACAGAGGGCGUGGGAUCUCAUCAGUAAAUGAACAUGGCCAGAUGCAACAAGCCCCAAGAAAAAACGAAAAUACGUUCGUAAAAGUAUUCUUUGUGAAAGGUCACACACACGAACUGAGAAACAAAAUAACUAACAAACUCAAUCAUACAAACACAAACAAAUAAACGACACACUUGCAUGUUGUGACCUUUUAUUUAUGAACGUUUUUGUGACUAACCUUUAUGUGACAGCAACUGGUUAGUAACUUUGCCCUAUUUUACUUGAACCUCUUAAGCCUUAUCGGCUCUUCUUGUGAUCUUGAUCUUUCCUAAAUGAUAAUCUUAUAUGGUAUAAAAUGUGUUUCGUGACUUGACCUUUUUGUGAUGUUCUUAUAUGAAACAACUUCUAUA
Long non-coding RNA from Penaeus chinensis, 960 nucleotides. RefSeq lists it as uncharacterized. Lineage: Eukaryota; Metazoa; Arthropoda; Malacostraca; Decapoda; Penaeidae. The transcript is spliced from 3 exons. The record is from RefSeq and is a predicted model, not a curated record.